GCCUACAGUUGUUCACAUCAAAAGUGAAAGUAUCUUGCACAAAUACAGCAACUCUGACACGUAGCAGUAAGUUUCACCCACGCGACAAAGGGAUUGUUCAACCAGUUAACGAUGGUGAAUGUUUACAUGCACACCACUGGACAACAUCUGGAUUGUCAUGAGGAGUUUAAAGAACGUAUAGCUAAUCGGGUCCAUGUCCGGCAAGAGUCCAAUCAUAGUGCCUCUGAUACCAUUCUUGCAUUCUGUACAAUCACCUCUCGAGUUGGAACUGAUGUUGAAGCUGCUGUCAAGGAGAUCCCAGGGGGCAAACCUGUGAUUCUUGUGAUUUGUCACCACACCUUUAACGUAGACUAUGUUGUGCCAGACAGUAGUAGAUCCGUAAGCCUCCCAGAUGUUGUUAUUGUUGACAUCCUGUUCCACGAAACCCAGGGGCUCCUGAGGUGCUUGCAUAAUGAUGAAGAACUGAAAAGAGUAACAAAUCGGCUAAUAGAUCUAGGAGCUGAGUAUCACCCUCUACCACCACCAUCAUCCAGCAAUGGCAGCAGAACACGUUGGAUUGGUGGUUUAAUUAGUGCAGUAGCUCUGAUAGUUGUAGUAUGUUUUAUUAUUGUGAUAAUUGAAACACAAUGGAAGCCGAUGGGACAUAGUAACAGCACCAAUGACUCCAAAACGGUGACAAACAAUCUGUAGUAAGUUGUUGUUGAUUUGUCUCUAUUUGGAAUUAAAGAAAUGGUCGGAUGAUCCUCCUAUCCUAUCAUAAGUUAACUAUAUGAAAUAAAUAUUUUUUGGUUAUGGUACUUGGUAAAUAAUUUUAUUCAAAUUGUGUAACAACUUACCAGACUCGAAAGUGAGCAAAGAAGAUCAUCUCCAACUCCUCACUUCCUGCUCAGGACCUCUUUCAGCACCUUCUUUCAGGGAGGCGCCACAGGUUACGACAGCAAACGCUUCAUAAACACCCUUUACGAUAUAGCUAUCAGGACUCUAAACUCCUCUUUCAUCUGUCCUCAUUUAACCUGUCAUACAUACCAUUCACCUACAUUUGCACUAUGGAUGUUUAAUAUAUAAAGUGGUCAAUUUGCACUAUUAAUUUAAACAAUACUCAUAAUGUUCAAAUCCCUUUCCCAAAAGCUUCCCCAAGCUUUUACUGCAUUAUUCUCUGUGUUAUACUUCCGCUUGCACAUCGUGCUUCACAAUGCCCCUUAGCUGUUCCAAAAUCAGUGUAAACUACGGCUUUUCGUGGCUUAUUGCUAAAUUGCAAUGAAUGUAAUUGUGUGUGUCUAAAUAAUGAUAUUAAAUAUGCAUUACACCAA
This is a long non-coding RNA of Alosa alosa (allis shad), 1310 nucleotides long. RefSeq lists it as uncharacterized. The record is from RefSeq and is a predicted model, not a curated record. NCBI's taxonomy places the organism in Eukaryota, Metazoa, Chordata, Actinopteri, Clupeiformes, Clupeidae. The transcript has 3 exons.